This 429-nucleotide ribosomal RNA is filed under the name uncultured bacterium. RNAcentral's name for it is "bacterial SSU rRNA". It matches the Rfam family "Bacterial small subunit ribosomal RNA", at positions 355 to 796 of the family's 1533-position model. The record is from RNAcentral.
UCAAGAAACUUCCACAAUGGACGAAAGUCUGAUGGAGCGACGCCGCGUGAUUGAUGAAGUCCUUCGGGACGUAAAGAUCUUUUAUGGGGGAGGAAGUAAUUGACGUUACCCCAUGAAUAAGAGGCUCCUAACUCUGUGCCAGCAGGAGCGGUAAUACAGAGGCCUCAAGCGUUACCCGGAAUCACUGGGCGUAAAGGGUGUGUAGGCGGUCGUGUUAGUCUUUCGUUAAAGCACCUGGGCUUAACCCAGGUAAUGCGAGGGAAACGGCACGACUUCGAGGAUGUGAGAGGUGUACAGAACUCAUGGUGUAGGGGUGAAAUCCGUUGAUAUCAUGGGGAAUACCAAAUGCGAAGGCAGUACACUGGCACACUCCUGACGCUGAAACACGAAAGCGUAGGUAGCGAACGGGAUUAGAUACCCCCGUAGUCC